This 1520-nucleotide ribosomal RNA is filed under the name uncultured bacterium. Its description in RNAcentral is "16S ribosomal RNA". It matches the Rfam family "Bacterial small subunit ribosomal RNA". The record is from RNAcentral.
GAUCCUGGCUCAGGAUGAACGCUAGUCGGCGCUGCCCUAAUGCAUGCAAGUCGAACGGGAUUUACUGACUCUCGUGAUUGGUAAUGAGGAGUGGCGAACGGGUGAUGUAAGCACGUAGGUGACCUGCCCUCGUGGAGGGGGACAACCAGCUGGACAACGCUGGCUAAUACCCCGGAUGUCAAUCUAGAUUACGAGACGAGAUUGACUAAAGCUCCGGUGCCCGAGGAGGGGCCUGCGACCCAUCAGCUAGUUGGUANGGUAAAAGCCUACCAAGGCAAAUGACGGGUAGGGGGCGUGAGAGCUGUGGCCCCCCACACUGGUACUGACACACGGACCAGAUACCUACGGGUAGCAGCAGCAAGGAAUAUUGCGCAAUGGGGGAAACCCUGACGCAGCAACGCCGCGUGGAGNAUGAAGGCCUUCGGGUUGUAAACUCCUUUUCUGGGGGAAGAGAGCUGGACGGUACCCCAGUGAAUAAGGCCCGGCUAACUACGUGCCAUGCAGCCGCGGCUAAAACGUAGGGUCGAGCGUUAUCCGGAAUUACUGGGCGUAAAUGNNACGAGUAGGCGGUCACGAAAGUUGGACGUGAAAGCUCCUGGCUCAACUGGGAGAGGUCGUUCAAAAUUAGGUGACUAGAGGAUGGUAGAGGCGAGUGGAAUCCCCGGUGUAUUGGUGAAAUGGUAGAUUCGGGAGGAACACCAGUGGCGAAAGGCGGCUCGCGUGGGGCCAUNACUGACGCUGUGGCGCGAAAGCCAGGGGGAGAGAACGGGGAUUAGAAACCCCCCGNUAUUCCUGGCCCGUAAACGAUGUCAACUAAGUGUAGAGAAUCGUAAAGAUUAGCUGUGCUGAAGCAAACGCGAUAAGUUGACCGCCUGGGGAGUACGGCCGCAAGGCUAAACUCAAAGGAAUUGACGGGGGCCCGCACAAGCAGCGGAGCGUGUGGUUUAAUUCGAGGCUACGCGAAGAACCUUACCAGGGUUUGACAUGUACGUGGUAGGUGUUGGAAACAACACUGACCCUUCGGGGAGCGUACACAGGUGCUGCAUGGCUGUCGUCAGCUCGUGCCGUGAGGUGUUAGGUUAAGUCCUGUAACGAGCGCAACCCUCGUCGUUAGUUACAAGUGUCUAACGAGACUGCCGGUGAUAAGCCGGAGGAAGGUGGGGAUGACGUCAAGUCAGCAUGGCCUAUAUAUCCUGGGCUACACACACGCUACAAUGGCCGGUACAAUGGGCAGCGAAAUCGCGAGAUGGAGCCAAUCCUGGAAAGCCGGUCUCAGUUCGGAUUGCAGGCUGCAACUCGCCUGCAUGAAGUCGGAGUUGCUAGUAAACGCGCGUCAGCCACAGUGCGUUGAAUACGUUCCCGGGCCUUGUACACACCGCCCGUCACGUCAUGGAAGUUGGCAACGCCUGAAGUCGGUAGGCUAACCCUAACGGGAGGCAGCCGCCUAAGGCGGGGUCGGUAACUGGGACGAAGUCGUACAAGGUAGCUGUAGCGGAAGCUGCGGCUGGAUCACCUCCUUA